UAAGGAAUAUUGGUCAAUGGACGCAAGUCUGAACCAGCCAUGCCGCGUGGAGGAUGAAGGCCCUCUGGGUUGUAAACUUCUUUUAUAUGGGACGAAACCCUCUCAUUCUUGAGAGACUGACGGUACCAUAGGAAUAAGCACCGGCUAACUCCGUGCCAGCAGCCGCGGUAAUACGGAGGGUGCAAGCGUUAUCCGGAUUCACUGGGUUUAAAGGGUGCGUAGGAGGGCAGGUAAGUCAGUGGUGAAAUCCCCGAGCUUAACUUGGGAACUGCCGUUGAUACUAUCUGUCUUGAAUAUUGUGGAGGUGAGCGGAAUAUGUCAUGUAGCGGUGAAAUGCUUAGAUAUGACAUAGAACACCAAUUGCGAAGGCAGCUCGCUACACAAAUAUUGACUCUGAGGCACGAAAGCGUGGGGAUCAAACAGGAUUAGAUACCCUGGUAGUCCACGCCCUAAAAGCGAUGGAUACUCGACAUACGCGAUACACAGUGUGUGUCUGAGCGAAAGCAUUAAGUAUCCCACCUGGGAAGUACGACCGCAAGGUUGAAACUCAAAGGAAUUGACGGGGUCAUAGCUGUUUCCUG
This 581-nucleotide ribosomal RNA is filed under the name uncultured bacterium. RNAcentral describes it as "partial 16S ribosomal RNA". It matches the Rfam family "Bacterial small subunit ribosomal RNA", at positions 355 to 1376 of the family's 1533-position model. The record is from RNAcentral.